Molecule: long non-coding RNA, 1412 nt
Filed under: Gallus gallus (chicken)
Lineage: Eukaryota; Metazoa; Chordata; Aves; Galliformes; Phasianidae
Source: RNAcentral
GAAGAGUGUGUGGUUUACCCGAUUGAUCUGUGUGUACAGUUUAAUGCUGGAGCUUUUCACUUAGUAUUCACUUCACAAAUGAGAGAUGUGAAAUGUUUAGAUUAAACGAAGCAGAAAUUAAAAAAAUAUAUUGAUUCUCUCCUUUCCUUCCAUCCUUCUUACUAAAGGUCUUUGGCUCUCUUGCAUUAGUGACUGUGGUAUGUAUUGGCAUUUACGCUAAUGAAGAGCCCACGAUGUUUCCCUAAAUGUUCUGCUACAAGUUCCUUGUUAAUAGCUUCCAUUUAUCCAGCAAAAGAAAAACUGCAAUCUCCAACAUGUUGUGCAAUAAACCAAGGGCACAGAAGGGGCGUGAAAGUCCAGUCUUUCCCUCACCAUGCUGUCCUUUAUUCCAGCACAGUCAAAUACUUUGUACAGGAAGAUGAAACCUGAACUGCAGGUCAAAAUGAGCUUGCCCAAGGAUCUGUGCUUGUUCCGCUCUAGAGAUGGAAAUAGACAGAAAUGAAAUCUGAGUGAGGCCCUGUGGCUUUUGUAGCACAGCAGUUAGUGGUUUAUUCCAUGAACAGAAAGGGAGACAAUAGCCUGAUCUUCCCCCUCUUCGUGUACCAGCAAGACUUCAGGAUGGCAGUCUUUGAUGAGAUUCUGAAACAUCAAAUCAGGAAAUGAUGGGAAUAAGCUGAUUUCUUCCUGAGCUAACACUGAGAGCAGCAUUGCAUGUCUGAUGGAGAACAGCAAACAAGUGAGAGAGGUUUGUCUGAUGUCCCGAGCGCUGCCCGGGUGUUCCAGCGGCACCAACAGAGGCUGACUGAUGGGCUCCAGUUCAGACAUACGAAGGGUGGCAAGCAGAGGCAGCGUUCUGAGACCGCAAGUCCCUCAGAACUGGAUGUCCUCAUCCCCAGGGCUGUCAGCCACACCGUGUCCUGUCCCUGCCGGCUGCACAGCAACAGUGGCGACACGGCUGCAUUGCUGGGGAGAUGGAAGCCCAACGUGUGUCAUCUCUGAGGCUGCUCGAGUUCCUCUUCAGCGCUUUGCAGGGGAAGACCAGAGAAAUAAUAAGGCUUUGUAUGAGUGAUAAGACUGUAUCGUGAUGGCUGUUCGCUUCCUAACAGAUGGGACAGAGAUGCAGGUAGGGUGGAGGGGCCACAAAGGCAACUGAUGGAGAAGUUUCUUUGGAGUCUGCUGUUCUUUUUUGCUUCAUUUAUAUUUCAUUAGGCAUGAAAUUACGUUUAUAAUUGUAUUAGACAACUGUGUGAGAUAUUAGAUCAUAAGCCUAGACUGAAUUAAAGCCAUUUUUAAUUAGUUAUUGAUUUAUUCUGUUUCGUCAUUUUUAAUGAAAUGAUGCCCCUGAAUUCAAAGCGCUGGUGCAGGUGUGUUAUCUUAAUUCAUAGAACUAGCACUCUGCUUACCUCCCAACC